RNAcentral lists this ribosomal RNA (440 nucleotides) under uncultured Eggerthella sp. RNAcentral's name for it is "bacterial SSU rRNA". It matches the Rfam family "Bacterial small subunit ribosomal RNA", at positions 338 to 795 of the family's 1533-position model. Lineage: Bacteria; Bacillati; Actinomycetota; Coriobacteriia; Eggerthellales; Eggerthellaceae. The record is from RNAcentral.
CCUACGGGUGGCAGCAGUGGGGAAUUUUGCGCAAUGGGGGCAACCCUGACGCAGCAACGCCGCGUGCGGGACGACGGCCUUCGGGUUGUAAACCGCUUUCAGCAGGGAAGAAAUUCGACGGUACCUGCAGAAGAAGCUCCGGCUAACUACGUGCCAGCAGCCGCGGUAAUACGUAGGGAGCGAGCGUUAUCCGGAUUCAUUGGGCGUAAAGAGCGCGUAGGCGGCCUCUCAAGCGGGAUCUCUAAUCCGAGGGCUCAACCCCCGGCCGGAUCCCGAACUGGGAGGCUCGAGUUCGGUAGAGGCAGGCGGAAUUCCCGGUGUAGCGGUGGAAUGCGCAGAUAUCGGGAAGAACACCGAUGGCGAAGGCAGCCUGCUGGGCCGCAACUGACGCUGAGGCGCGAAAGCUAGGGGAGCGAACAGGAUUAGAUACCCCAGUAGUC